RNAcentral lists this transfer RNA (71 nucleotides) under Thyridosmylus langii. RNAcentral's name for it is "tRNA-Lys". Lineage: Eukaryota; Metazoa; Arthropoda; Insecta; Neuroptera; Osmylidae. The record is from RNAcentral.
CAUUAGAUGACUGAAAGCAAGUGUUGGUCUCUUAAACCAUUUUAUAGUAGAUUAGCCCCUACUUCUAAUGA